RNAcentral lists this ribosomal RNA (454 nucleotides) under Klebsiella pneumoniae. Its description in RNAcentral is "bacterial SSU rRNA". It matches the Rfam family "Bacterial small subunit ribosomal RNA", at positions 42 to 482 of the family's 1533-position model. The record is from RNAcentral. Lineage: Bacteria; Pseudomonadati; Pseudomonadota; Gammaproteobacteria; Enterobacterales; Enterobacteriaceae.
GCAGGCCCUACCAAUUGCAAGUUCGAGCGGUAGCACAGAGAGCUUGCUCUCGGGUGACGAGCGGCGGACGGGUGAGUAAUGUCUGGGAAACUGCCUGAUGGAGGGGGAUAACUACUGGAAACGGUAGCUAAUACCGCAUAACGUCGCAAGACCAAAGUGGGGGACCUUCGGGCCUCAUGCCAUCAGAUGUGCCCAGAUGGGAUUAGCUAGUAGGUGGGGUAACGGCUCACCUAGGCGACGAUCCCUAGCUGGUCUGAGAGGAUGACCAGCCACACUGGAACUGAGACACGGUCCAGACUCCUACGGGAGGCAGCAGUGGGGAAUAUUGCACAAUGGGCGCAAGCCUGAUGAUGCAGCCAUGCCGCGUGUGUGAAGAAGGCCUUCGGGUUGUAAAGCACUUUCAGCGGGGAGGAAGGCGGUAAGGUUAAUAACCUUGUCGAUUGACGUUACCCGC